CUUGAAUGUACAAGCACGACGCCCCCACAGACCCGAGCUCCCUUGCGACCGGCCACGACCACCUUUCCUUAAUAUGGCGACCCAACCUCAGCCGAGGCGACGCCGAGGUCGCGUAACCUCGGGCGAGUGACGAUGAGGCCGCCCAACCUCGGGUGCGCCUCUCUCGACUACGGCGUUAGGCAAGCCAGGCGGUAGAUCCAAAGUCCUCCCAGUCAACAAGCAAUCCAUGGAAGACCCAAACUCUUCCAGGUCGGUUCGAGCACGAAGAAAUGCAGAACGAUGACGACGAGAGAGAGGGAUAGGGAUCGCGAGCUGUUGAUUCCCGUCUCCGCCCUCCCCGAGAAUGGGGGCUCCAAGUCCUUGUCUCCGUCGUCCUCGCCUCCAUUGUUGUGGCACCCUCGUAUCAUCACUCCGGUCGAGAGAUUGAUGCAUUAGGAAAACAAAAUGCUUUGUUUCUCUGCGUAAUCUUGAAUCUCGUGGAGCACAGAAAAAGCGACUCCUCUGUUGUGGUGUGGGAUCCGGACUCUGCCCUCGAGUUUCCUUCUCCCUUGGCUUUCUAUGUUUCAGAAACUACACGACCCUGGUUUCAGCUGUUCCCCGAGUAUUAGAGGCAUGGCUCCAAUGACAAAACUAGAAAACACUAGCAUAUGCCUUUCUGGAGUUAAUGAGAUAAAAUCGAGGUCAAGUUAAGUAACAUGACUUCAUCCGACACGGUGUUCUUUUCCUUUCAUAGUCGGGUUCUGCUGCAUUGUGCACGCUCCAAUAUUUCUUCGUUACUUUGCAUCCGAUAGAAGACAUAUGAAAGAGCCCGAUGGGACUCGGCAAGCUCAACCUCCAGCAAAUGAUCCAAUUGUUGCUGAAGAUGGGACAGUGCACAAUUUGAAUGAAAACAUUGAGAUUAGAGCUGCAGAUGCUGUUGAAAAUGUGGACAACGAGGUGAUUAAUACAAUCUGACAAACUUGGCAUUGUUGUCAAAGAAACUCAGUUGGAACAAUUCUUUACACAUAUUACAUGAUGUAUGGCUGAGUUCUUUUUCUUCGAGAAGGCUCCUGGUAUGGGUUGGACAAUUUCAUCCUUUUGAUGGCAUUGCAUGGAAUCGGAUGCUAGCGGUGCACUUAUGAGUGGAAUUGCUAUUGGUGAGUAGACAGAGUUGGCGAGUUAAUUCUUGGAAGUGUUGGGAUGUGGAAAAGUGUUGGACUACACACCCGAAACAUGGUUAAAUGUAUGUGAAAUUGAGUUUCUUGAUGAGGUUGGGUUUG
Rhodamnia argentea is the source of this 1259-nucleotide RNA transcript. It is a transcript of the gene named protein N-terminal glutamine amidohydrolase-like, with no coding region annotated. The record is from RefSeq and is a predicted model, not a curated record. The transcript is spliced from 4 exons. NCBI's taxonomy places the organism in Eukaryota, Viridiplantae, Streptophyta, Magnoliopsida, Myrtales, Myrtaceae.